GGAAAAGAAACCAACAGGGAUUGCCUCAGUAACGGCGAGUGAAGCGGCAAAAGCUCAAAUUUUAAAGCUGGCAUCUUCGGUGUCCGCGUUGUAAUUUUGUGAGGCAUCUCCGGGUAGGGCGCCGGCCUAAGUUCCUUGGAACAGGACGUCACAGAGGGUGAGAAUCCCGUGCUUGGCUGGCUGUCCCCGUCCAUGUGAGGUGUCUUCGACGAGUCGAGUUGUUUGGGAAUGCAGCUCAAAAUGGGUGGUAAAUUUCAUCUAAAGCUAAAUAUUGGUGGGAGACCGAUAGCGCACAAGUAGAGUGAUCGAAAGAUGAAAAGCACUUUGAAAAUAGAGUUAAAAAGUACGUGAAAUUGUUGAAAGGGAAGCGCUUGAGACCAGACUUCGGUAGGGGGUGAUCAGCCGUCCUUCUGGGCGGUGCACUUGCCCCCCUCCGGGCCAGCAUCGGUUGAGGCGGCGGGAUAAAGGUCCCGGGAAUGUGGCUCCUUCACGGGAGUGUUAUAGCCCGGGUGAAUGCCGCCAGUCUCGACCGAGGACCGCACCCGCAAGGGUUA
RNAcentral lists this ribosomal RNA (554 nucleotides) under Morchella sp. Mel-8. Its description in RNAcentral is "eukaryotic LSU rRNA". It matches the Rfam family "Eukaryotic large subunit ribosomal RNA", at positions 55 to 611 of the family's 3401-position model. The record is from RNAcentral. Lineage: Eukaryota; Fungi; Ascomycota; Pezizomycetes; Pezizales; Morchellaceae.